Molecule: long non-coding RNA, 257 nt
Filed under: Homo sapiens (human)
Lineage: Eukaryota; Metazoa; Chordata; Mammalia; Primates; Hominidae
Description: long non-coding RNA NONHSAT224998
Source: RNAcentral
CCUAGUCCAAGCUGAGUUACCUGUGUAGCUCAGCACAGCACGGCCUUCCCAGACUCACCCAUUCAGUGAGAGGCAGAGCUAGAUUGGGCUAGGUUUCCUAGUCCAUUACUUAAGUCAUUGUACAGUGUGGCCUCACAGCUGCUGCGGCCUGGAAUAGCCUAGACUUAGAUCCUAAAAGCCUCAUUUACCUCUUCUCUAACCAAUCUUUGUCCCUGGGCUGGAGUGUCACUUGUUAUACCCUAUGUAUCAAACUUCCC